ACUGCCACCCUCUCCCAGGUCUAGAGAGGGGUACCCACGGUGGAGGGAGGUGGGAGGCCGAGACGGCCCCGGGGGUCGGCGGAGACCCAGCGGGAGCAGGGGGAAAUCGGAAGAGCUGGGGGCAUGGAGCGGGCGAGUUUGGAGCGGAAUGAGCCGGGAGCCCUACGUUGUGGAAGGAAGACAACAGUAUAGGACCAUCAGCAGGACCGGACAGAGAGGGGCACCCCUGGCUGUCCUGGAACUUGUAGACCAGGCUGGCCUUGAACUCAGAAAUCCGCCUGCCUCUGACUCCCGAGUGCUGAGAUUAAAGGUGUGCACCACCACACCCGACAAGGAAGCCUGUUUUAAGAAGUGAUUCCAUGGAGGAGUUCUGCGGCGGCUCAGGGCUUGACUAAACAGUGGACCUCAGACAAGAGAGGCUAAACCAGGCUGCAGGUGACAGGAAGAAUUGAAUAAACUGAAAGCAAAGGGCAGCCUUCUAAUUACGCUUCGUGGCUAUGUGGACAACCUGGAGAAGUCUGGAAACACCCGAGGGUGAAGGAUGAGGAGGAUGGAAGAAAAUGGGAGUGGCGCUUGCUGCAAAGGGUCUCGAAGGGUCUCAGCACCUGCGAACUGGCUCCAAUCCAAACUCCACUAUUCAUGGUCAAGUUCACAUAGGGCUUGGGGUUCUAACAAGAUGUGACUAAACUUACGUUUUCUAUCUUAUUGAUUGUUGUUGAUGCACGUCUGGUGGUACAUGCUUGAAGAACACAGACACCCUGAGAAGAAAGACAUAGCUCCCCAGAUUCCAGCACGCACUUCUCUGUGAGCUACCACUGUAGCUGAAGAUACAGGGCUCAGGAGGAACACUUGGCCUUCGCUCUGAACUUCAGGCCCACGUAACCAUCAGCCGACAUGACACUGCAAAGGCACCUUAGCUCUGCUGUCCCAGAUGGCCAAGCCAACCUUAUUCCAGAAGCUACUUCUCCUGAUGUAAGAACCAGACACAAAGGACAACCUCUGCCUCACCCUCCUUCACACAACACUGAGUCUGUCAUCUUUGAAGCAUUUCUCAAGCCAUGUUUAUUCCCCUGGCCUACGUGGAACACAGCCAGGCUUCCUUUUCCUUACCUAGUUUGGCGGACUCCAACUCUUGGGAUAGCUUUUUUUCUGGCCCCAAACUCACCUGAUUCGUCUGUCCACUGCCACACUGAAGAAUGAACAGCUGUCUCAGAGAGCUUGGCUCCAGAGCUCUGCAAAAAGAGGACACCUUGCCUUGAGCUGUGUUUCCAGAAUGUAUUGCAGCCCCCAGAGUCAUGUACUGUGACCAGGUGAGGACAUGCAUCUUCUGUUCUCCUGCACCCAGGGCCCCAGCAACCAAGGAUCUGGGGACAUGGCGGGUGUUUGGCAGGUUCGCACUCUGAAAAUAUUUGAUGAGACUCAGUAUAUGCUAAAUAAACACUGGAUCAAG
RNAcentral lists this long non-coding RNA (1450 nucleotides) under Mus musculus (house mouse). RNAcentral describes it as "predicted gene 20544". Lineage: Eukaryota; Metazoa; Chordata; Mammalia; Rodentia; Muridae. The record is from RNAcentral.